CCUACGGGCGGCUGCAGUAGGGAAUUUUCGGCAAUGGGGGAAACCCUGACCGAGCAACGCCGCGUGAACGACGAAGUACUUCGGUAUGUAAAGUUCUUUUAUUGGGGAAGAAUGGCCUGCGGAAAAGCAGGCGUGACGGUACCCGAUGAAUAAGCCCCGGCUAACUAUGUGCCAGCAGCCGCGGUAAUACAUAGGGGGCAAGCGUUAUCCGGAAUUAUUGGGCGUAAAGGGUGCGUAGGUGGCCAUUUAAGUCUGUGGUGUAAGUGCAGUGCUCAAAGCGGUGAUGCUAAAGAAACUGGGUGGCUUGAGUGUGGUAGAGGCAAGUGGAAUUCCAUGUGUAGCGGUAAAAUGCGUAAAUAUAUGGAGGAACACCAGUGGCGAAGGCGGCUUGCUGGGCAACAACUGACACUGAAGCACGAAAGCGUGGGGAGCAAACAGGAUUAGAUACCCUGGUAGUCCGG
RNAcentral lists this ribosomal RNA (461 nucleotides) under uncultured Acholeplasma sp. RNAcentral describes it as "bacterial SSU rRNA". It matches the Rfam family "Bacterial small subunit ribosomal RNA", at positions 338 to 798 of the family's 1533-position model. Lineage: Bacteria; Bacillati; Mycoplasmatota; Mollicutes; Acholeplasmatales; Acholeplasmataceae. The record is from RNAcentral.